RNAcentral lists this ribosomal RNA (293 nucleotides) under uncultured prokaryote. RNAcentral describes it as "partial 16S ribosomal RNA". It matches the Rfam family "Archaeal small subunit ribosomal RNA", at positions 455 to 747 of the family's 1478-position model. The record is from RNAcentral.
UUGUCAGCAGCCGCGGUAAUACCGGCAGCCCAAGUGAUGGCCGAUCUUAUUGGGCCUAAAGCGUCCGUAGCUGGUCACGCAAGUCCAUCGGGAAAUCCACCUGCCCAACAGGUGGGCGCCCGGUAGAAACUGCGUGGCUUGGGACCGGAAGGCGCGACGGGUACGUCCGGGGUAGGAGUGAAAUCCCGUAAUCCUGGACGGACCGCCGAUGGCGAAAGCACGUCGCGAGAACGGAUCCGAAAGUGAGGGACGCAAGCCAGGGUCUCGCACCGGAUUAGAAACCCGCGGAGUCC